Long non-coding RNA from Neofelis nebulosa (Clouded leopard), 530 nucleotides. RefSeq lists it as uncharacterized. The transcript is spliced from 3 exons. NCBI's taxonomy places the organism in Eukaryota, Metazoa, Chordata, Mammalia, Carnivora, Felidae. The record is from RefSeq and is a predicted model, not a curated record.
GGCUGCGUCCCUGGCCCCGAGGCCGGAGGCAUCUCCAGGACACCGCAGUUCCAGAAAGGUGUUCCUUGAGUGGAGCUGGGGUACGGACCGGGCGCAAGGCUCAGACACAUCCCACCCCAUCACCCCGCCUCCCUAGACGCAGGGGAUGCAUUUCUGAAGAACUGAAAAUCACCCUCUAAUUUUGUAAGGAAGUCAUCUGUAACUUUCCGGGUUCCUGUAACUGCUUUACACAUAUUGCACAGAAAAACGAGACGACCCCUCGUUGGCUCAGGAGCCAAAGAAAAGUUAAGUCACUCAUUUGGGAGGGCCACCAGGGCCGAGGGCAGAGGGCACGAAGACAAUGGCAAAUAACCCUCAGCUGCUCCCCGAGAAUGAACCACCCCCACUCCGAGUCCGAUCUCCUCCCGGAGAGAAACUCUCAGCGAUACUGGAAUCGCAGUCCGAGAACGCCACCUCGGGACCGUGACUCCCCAUGGUGUCUCCUGCUCGCUCUCGUUACAAAACUUCUUAAAGGAAAAAUAAAGAAAUCA